GCCCAGAUGUCUUCCUUGCCUUUAAACCACUGCUUGUUCAGAUGGCCAUAGUCCCACUGACCUGCAUGUCAUUGUUAAUGCAAAAAUGUGGAUGGAGAAAAAAAAAAAAAAAGGGAGGGGGCAUCCACAUUUAACACCUGCUCUCCCAGAGCUACCGCCUUCUCGCUGCAAUAGCCUGGCAGUGAAGGGGUGGAUGCCAUCUCUCUGUAACCCCCCUCACCCCCCUUCUCUCCCC
Pelobates cultripes (western spadefoot toad) is the source of this 235-nucleotide non-coding RNA. The record is from the annotation of a GenBank genome assembly. NCBI's taxonomy places the organism in Eukaryota, Metazoa, Chordata, Amphibia, Anura, Pelobatidae.